Long non-coding RNA from Arvicola amphibius (Eurasian water vole), 3651 nucleotides. RefSeq lists it as uncharacterized. NCBI's taxonomy places the organism in Eukaryota, Metazoa, Chordata, Mammalia, Rodentia, Cricetidae. The transcript is spliced from 4 exons. The record is from RefSeq and is a predicted model, not a curated record.
CUGAGCAGAGGGGGGUCCGAUGCCAGUUGCUUAAAAUGCCCCUGUAGCAUCAAGAGGUGCCAGAACCGAGUCAACUUAGUUGAGAAGCAGUGACACCCACAACCAUACCCCAAAUAAGCUGAGCCUCCACCUCCGAAGAGUCCUCCCUGGGCCAGACAACAGCCAAGGCAAGAGUGACAGCUAGUCAAAUUCCCCACUACGCUAGAGAAUGAGGAGCCCCAGAGAGAAAUCCUCCCGAGAACCAGAAAACGGACAGCGGUGGCAGCCUGCUCCCAGAACUGAGCUUCCCAACAGACAGAAGCCAGAGAUUCCCCUAGCCUGGAGACAUUUUCUGAAGACGUAGGAAAAGGAGAAAAAGAGGGCCACCCCCUGCAGCAAUGCCAAGAUGCCGAGAGUCAAUGCCAAGUGCAAGCCCUGAGGAAAAGCCUACCUACAGACAACCCUGAAAGUGUGUGUCAUCCAGCAUCAAGGCCACCACAGUCACCAUGAAGCAAAGGUCUUCCGGGACCCUGGGAUCUUAUCAAGAGCAGGGGUGAGUGGGUGGUUUGGGGUUGGGGUACCCUGCUCACCUGGAAGUUCCCACACAAGCCACGCCCAUAGAAGAAAAUAAUUCUCCACAUGGCACUCAGUCAGCGACCAGCACAUGUCUGCUAUGUCUGUUGUCAUGUGCAGUUUCUAGAGACCCCACAUUAUAACAAAGGAGCCCUGGCCUCAGGGAACUGCAGAGGUAAGUGCGGAUGGGCCCAGAGAGAGGAUGAGGUGGUUUGCAACUCAAGCAGCGUUCAUCAUGGCCCUGAUUUGGGCACUGAGGGAAUCCAGCCAGCUCCCUUUCCCCAUGAAGGAGAAUGUGCUCACAGAAGAAAAUUCUACCUCAAGAGUUGGGAAGAAACAGAGUUCACAGGGUGGACAAGAACAUGAAGAAGGUGUCCUGGGGUCUAAAGGAGUGAGGGAUGGCUUCUCACAAGUGCUAUUUUGCCCAGAAUGUAUACAGAGAUGGGUGGUGAACAAGAGCAGGGGACCACGAGGUGAGUGGACACAGGAGGUAUAUGAUACGUGCAAGGCAUGGAGUUCCAUUCCCAGCACUGCAGAGAAAAAAAAACUAAUUGCACACUUUAAAUGGAUUGGCUCUACCUCAAGAAAGCUAACUUAAAAAAAAAAAAGGAAAAGAAGGUGGAAUUUUCCAGUCUCAGAGGGCUCCGGCAAGGGGAGAGCAGGGUGGGAGGCUUACACUCCUCCUCCUGUCCAGGAGAAGGGCUGCAGCCCGAGAGCGGAACAGGGCAGCCCAAGCUCGCGCGGAGCGCCUGUCUCCCAGCCUGAGGUGCAGUGCUGCAUCUCUGGUCAGUUGGGAGUCUGAGAUGAAGCACUGUAGCUCAGGAAGGGAGAAGUUGUUCUGCAGCCGUCUCAGGAACGUGGUAAGUGUUGACGCGGUGGGGUAGCAGGUCCAAGAGGUUGUCCCUAGACUCUGCCCCAGCAGUCCAUGGUGAUGUUCCUGAGGUAAAGCCGCACCAGUACUGACUGCUCCCAUGCAUCUGUAACAGUAGGCCGCUGGUCCAUUCGGUGGGGGACCGGUAUGGACACCCUGCCUCCACUUUCUCUUCCUGAGCCACAGAAGACACUGUUAACAAAUCAAGGCAUCUAUCCAUUCUGGAAGGGUUCCCUCAUACCCUCAGAUCCUUCUCAACACUGCAGACACAGUUACCCACUCUAAGUGAUCCUAGGCUGAACCCCAUUCAUCUCUGUAGGUCAUCAGACAACCCCUAACCACUCUUCCAUCCUGGAGGUAGCGGCCCAGGGCCCUGGCAGCCCAACACAUUGUAGAUGACGCUGUCAUGUUGCAAUGUCAAAAUGUUGCGCAUCCCUGCUAGGCGUGGAGUCAUAGUCUUCACUAUCCGGGCCUCUAACUCUGGCUCCGAGCUAUUGACCUAAACCCAGCCCAGGCAUUUCACAAAUGUGGAUCCUGUCCCAGAGGCUUCUGAGAAGCAUGGGGCAGCAAAGGUGAGCCACUGGGAUACACCCAUUGGCAUUUAACCACCUGCACCUGGUCAGAGGAAAGGCGACCCACCUCACAGAGGAGAAAAACUAAGUCUUAGUUAAGUAACUGGCCCUAGGGUCCCAUACGGAUGUAUGAGCUGGGGUCUACCUUCUUAUCCACUGCGAGACUAUGGGACCUGGAGCAAGAGAGUAGGAAAACAGAACAAACCCGACUCUGGUCUUGUCUACUCUCUGCCUUAUAGUAAACAAAGGCAGAACCACACACUGGUCUAAGAGUCCCGUGGCCUCCCUUUCUUCAUGCUGGCCCCCUCACCCAGUAGGUCCUAUCUGAUGUCCCUUUACAACCAAGACUCAGAGUUUAAGGGACCUGCUGGAGGUCAGCCGGGAGAAAGUUGCCAGAAGCCUGGGAAACCUUGACUUCACCCAAACUGGUUUAAAUUCCCCCUCCUGACCUAUGGCAGUGGGGGGAAGGAACUGGUCCCAGACGCUCUCUGGUUCGUCUGAUCGAUUCUCAUGAACAUCAGCAGCUUCCUUGACCCCAAGGAAGGUACUUUCCAAGCCUCUUCAAACUCUAAUCGCUCUUCCCAGGGCAGGAAGCUGCACCCUGGGAGUCCGCAGCACCCCACGCUGGCUGCCAGAGCUAGGGCUGGGCGCUGAGAAAACUGCUGGUCCCUAGGGGUGUGGCGGGUGCUGAAGCCUCUCUCCCCACCUUGUCCUCACGGUCCAGUUUUCCCAGGAAUCCCUUGGAUGCUAAGAUGGGGCUUCCUGGAAAAUCUGUUCUUGAGGUCAUGGUUUAGCUGCUGGAUCUGCCUCUUCCCACCCUGGCAUUUCCUCUCUGGGAUGAGGGAGGAGAAGGCGGUACACUGGAGGUAAGCGGCCUCGGGAUAGCCCUUCUGACCUUUGCAUUGCUUUCCUUUCCACUGUGCCGGAUUUCAUAACACCCCCGGGAGGCUGGAUUGUGGGAACCUCAGAACUGCCUCGCUCUUGAGAAAACUUGUCCCAGCGGUUGGAGCAGGACUCUGAGGCCGCGGUCCCUCCACUGUGACCCUCCCCAUUCCUUCCCUGGCGGGGGCCUUACGGUAAGGAGGGACCGCAGGCCCAUAUCCACAUUAUUAAGAAAGUCAGACACAAAUUUAUUUUAAAAUUUUAUUAAAUCAGUUAGGUAACGAAAAACCAUUCAUCUCUGGUGGAUUUGGAGGCAACAGCCACAGAAAACUGAGCUUUGGGGGUAGAAAUACAAGAUUUUGAGCGCCCCCUGGUGGUAUUUUUGCUCACUUUCAGGAACACUGUGAUUUCCCUAUACACUGCGCAGGAAUCUCUCUGCUGCUUGCCUUCCGGUUUCUACACACUCCUGCCAAAAUUCUUUCUGCCCAGUCACUUUUGGAGCACAGACAUGCUUAAGCCUUAUUUAUCCCUUGCCAGAGAUGCUGUCCCGCGGCUUACAGUUGGUUUUCUUUAGGCCCAAACCAGGCAAGUUCACCCAGGACAGCAAAAAAGCAGAGCCAGGAUAGGUUUAUAAGUUCCAUGGCCCCUAGCAUUGAAUUCUGAGCCGAAAGGGAAAGUAGGGCCAAGUAAUCUUCCUUUUAGCUCCCUGCCCCCUAAACUCUUGGGAGUUCUUUCUCGUUUUUCCUUAAUAAAUUUGUUGUGCUUUAAAAAAAA